Molecule: long non-coding RNA, 851 nt
Organism: Nerophis ophidion (straightnose pipefish)
Lineage: Eukaryota; Metazoa; Chordata; Actinopteri; Syngnathiformes; Syngnathidae
Exons: 7
Source: RefSeq, a predicted model, not a curated record
GUUAUAAUAAGGCGUCUUUCGGUGACGUCACAAGUCAGGCCAGGACCCGGAUGUCGCGCCAUUUUGGACAAUACGGGAAGCAGUCAAUUAAAAGGCGAUAUGUAACCUCGAUAUAAAAGUCGAGAUUCUGGGGUACUCAAAGCCCUUUGACACGACUUCCACAUUUACCCAUUCACACACUGAUGGAGGGAGCUGUCAUGCAAGGCGCUAACCAAGACCCAUCAGGAGCAAGGGUGAAGUGUCUUCAACGGACGUGACGAGGAGUUUGGUGGCUUGCCAGGCGUUGCUGAACAGGUUUCGACGAGUUCCCUCCUCAUCUUCUUAUGUUGGACGGAGAAACCUGUCGAAGCAGUGUUCCAGUGCGCAAUGGCAGGUGUACACUCAGGUCGAGUUCUCGGUCCCGGAAGCUGUGUCUUAUCAGCAGCGCAUGUGAUGGUGUCGGUAGCCAGGAGCGAGACGGCGCUAUUGUACCGCUGCCUGGGGCCGAGUGACGGAUGACAGCGCCUUCUCUCUGGAGGAAAUGGGGAGGCCAGAGUGUGAGCCUGAGACCAGACACGCUACUGCCCGUGUUGUUGCCAUCCAGGAAGGUUCUGCCAAACUUGGAGGCCAUGAGAGGAGGAAGUGACCAGUCUGGAUCCCCUGCCCUUUGCCCUCCCUCGGGUCCCAUAAAUAAGCCCGCUGUAAUUCCCUUCCAGACGGCCUUGCCCUAGCAGUGUGCGCGCGUGGUAGGACGCAGUUGUCAGCGGAAGUGGAUACUUCAUGACAACAUCCGGUUUUGGUUUAUCUAUAAUACCAUUGGGGUGUAUCUUGCCAGUGAGCACACCUGUUGGGGCCUCCUCACUCAUCUGGCG